AGUGAACGCUGGCGGCGUGCUUAAUACAUGCAAGUCGAACGAUGAAGUCCUAGCUUGCUAGGAUGGAUUAGUGGCGCACGGGUGAGUAAUAUAUAGUUAAUCUGCCUUGCACUGAGGAACAACAGUUGGAAACGAUUGCUAAUACCUCAUACUCCAACUUUACAUAAGUUAAGUUGGGAAAGUCUUUUCGGUGCAAGAUGAGACUAUAUCGUAUCAGCUAGUUGGUAAGGUAAUGGCUUACCAAGGCUAUGACGCGUAACUGGUCUGAGAGGAUGAUCAGUCACAUUGGAACUGAGACACGGUACAAACUCCUACGGGAGGCAGCAGUAAGGAAUAUUGUGCAAUGGGGGAAACCAUGACGCAGCAACGCCGCGUGGAGGAUGACACUUUUCGGAGCGUAAACUCCUUUUGUUAGGGAAGAAUAAUGACGGUACCUAACGAAUAAGCACCGGCUAACUCCGUG
Molecule: ribosomal RNA, 463 nt
Filed under: uncultured bacterium
Lineage: Bacteria
Description: partial 16S ribosomal RNA
Rfam family: Bacterial small subunit ribosomal RNA
Source: RNAcentral